GAUCCUGGCUCAGGAUGAACGCUGGCGGCGUGCUUAACACAUGCAAGUCGAGCGAAGCACUUAGGAAAGAUUCUUCGGAUGAUUUCCUAUUUGACUGAGCGGCGGACGGGUGAGUAACACGUGGGUAACCUGCCUUCAUACAGGGGGAUAACAGUUAGAAAUGACUGCUAAUACCGCAUAAGACCACAGCACUGCAUGGUGCAGGGGUAAAAACUCCGGUGGUAUGAGAUGGACCCGCG
RNAcentral lists this ribosomal RNA (239 nucleotides) under uncultured bacterium. Its description in RNAcentral is "partial 16S ribosomal RNA". It matches the Rfam family "Bacterial small subunit ribosomal RNA", at positions 15 to 235 of the family's 1533-position model. The record is from RNAcentral.